CUUUCCUAUAGGCAGCGUAUAACAAGGUGAAGGUGUUUGUAACCCAUUUUUACUGUGCAAGAAACAGUAACAGCUCCGUUUGCUCCCUAACCCCAGACUAGAGAACGUGCUGGCGUGGAGAGGGGACAUUUGGAUAUAGAAGAGAAAGGAAAAUCUCCCAUCUUCACAUCCGCCUCAUUGCACCGCGGAAGGCAAUCAGCCAUGAUUCCACUUUGCUUUUCUGCACCACAGAGCAGUCCACGGAGAGACAUCCAUACAGAUGAGAGGAGAAUGAGGUCCACUAUGCUUCAAAAAGACAUACUUGGUGUGUUAUUACACAGCUUCUCCUGCUAAUGGCAACGGGGUAUCAUCCUCAGAGAAGGCUGCCAUCAGCAUGGCAGCUGAAUACACCCAGUACUCUUCCCAGUGUUUUCACUGCUAAAAAAAAAAAAAAAAAUGGAGGUGCUCAUAUCCAACGAGGACACUUCUCCAGCCCUGUUUCCUAGCACACUUUCCCAAUAUACAAAAAAUCACCUGGGUGAAACACUCAGGAGAGCUCCAUUAGAGACCCAGCAGGAGGCCUUGCUGAAGAGCCAGCUCCACUUGGCAUCCAAACAUGGCAUCCAACCGUGAUGCUGUGUGGCUGGUCCUGCCUAACGACCCCAAGCACAAGGCCCAACUCAGGCCCUGCUGCGUGGUCCCAUGUUAUCUUUCUCAGAACCAUACAGAAAAAUCACUGAAAACACUAUUUCUUUUUGACCACGCCUGAUGGGGCAGGAGAAUCAAACCAUGUGGGGAGGGCAGGACCACCCCUCUUUUUGCAGCAAAGAGGAUUUGCACAGGAGUCAAUCACAGUGUUGUGGCAUAAGGAGUGCUGCAAAUUUGUAAGGUUGCUCCUAGCUCUUAUCAGGAGAGAGAUCAGAAGAGCAAUCGAU
Molecule: long non-coding RNA, 914 nt
Filed under: Gallus gallus (chicken)
Lineage: Eukaryota; Metazoa; Chordata; Aves; Galliformes; Phasianidae
Description: long non-coding RNA NONGGAT009047
Source: RNAcentral